This 106-nucleotide small nuclear RNA is filed under the name Jaculus jaculus (lesser Egyptian jerboa). The record is from RNAcentral. Lineage: Eukaryota; Metazoa; Chordata; Mammalia; Rodentia; Dipodidae.
GUGUUCGCUUUGGCAGCACAUAUACUAAAAUUAGAACAUACAGAGAAGAUUAGCAUGGCCCCUGUGCAAGGAUGACAUGCAAAUUCGUGAAGCAUUCCAUAUUUAA